RNAcentral lists this transfer RNA (99 nucleotides) under Schizophyllum amplum. Its description in RNAcentral is "Auriculariopsis ampla tRNA". It matches the Rfam family "tRNA". Rfam says of the family: Transfer RNA (tRNA) molecules are approximately 80 nucleotides in length. Their secondary structure includes four short double-helical elements and three loops (D, anti-codon, and T loops). Further hydrogen bonds mediate the characteristic L-shaped molecular structure. tRNAs have two regions of fundamental functional importance: the anti-codon, which is responsible for specific mRNA codon recognition, and the 3' end, to which the tRNAs corresponding amino acid is attached (by aminoacyl-tRNA synthetases). tRNAs cope with the degeneracy of the genetic code in two manners: having more than one tRNA (with a specific anti-codon) for a particular amino acid; and 'wobble' base-pairing, i.e. permitting non-standard base-pairing at the 3rd anti-codon position. Lineage: Eukaryota; Fungi; Basidiomycota; Agaricomycetes; Agaricales; Schizophyllaceae. The record is from Rfam by way of RNAcentral.
GCCCGCCUAGCUCAAUCGGAUAGAGCGUCAGACUCUUACAAAGUCAAUCAGGCGGGAAAGACUAUCUGAAGGCUGCGAGUUCGACCCUCGCGGUGGGCU